GUCUAUGAUAGAGGUGUUUUUCUUCAUCCAAUGCAGUUCGGGUGGAAUUCCUUAUUUGUUGCUUACGUAGCUGGGUGUUUGAGAUUCCAAAGUCCUUAAAGUGUCUUUCCGCUAUGAAGCCGUUCAAAAGUCUGCUGCAACACGGUCUCGUCCAGAAAGUAGAGUGGGGCAAUUUCAUAAUUCAAUUGAGUAUAUUUAGCACCUAGUAUAGAAUUGGAUUAAGUAAAGACCGACUAUCCUUAAGUGAAGACCCCAAAGGACUUUUGCACUUGCUUCUUUCGUUGCUUCUGGAAUUGCUAUUUUCUCGUUUGCCUAUCUACUUAUUCUCAUUGUGCUUAUAUAAGUGAUUAAAGCUUCAAGUAAACCCGACGAGUCUCCUUCUGUUCGACGAGUGCAAGUUCCAUUCCUGUAGUUUCCAUUCAAGAAGAAUAAGUUGGAAACUGAAUAAGUAGUGCGGUAUCUGGGAACAGUACUAAAAGAGAGACUAUAAGUAAGAGCCCUUUGCUAUAAGAAUUGAAGAUUGCAUAUCACAAUAUAUAAGAAAAGUCAAAACCCGGCUAACCUUAUUAUUGCUUCUCAACUAACUCUGCGUUUCUUAUUGCGUGAUUCUAUCGCCCCUGCCUUUUGAAGAUACUUAUAUUGAAAGAAGUCCUUCCUAGCUUUUGAAGAUACUUAUUGUACGGAAGCCCUUGCUUUUGGAAUAUGGGCACCCCUUAUUUGCUUUAAGAAUUGAAGUCGUACAAACAAUAUGGAUAUUUUAGUAACCAAUAGAAAAGAGUAAACUAAAGGCUUGUUUUAAGUUCUCAUAUCUGCUGUUAGCGAGUUCAACGGUCCAGAGCAAAUCCUGUUUGUUUUCGUAUCGGCCGCUUCAACUCCUCCUAACGUGUGCAAGUCAAAAGAAUUCAUUGAAUCACUCGAGCGGCGUAUCGCAUUACCUGCGCUGUCAAGAGAGUUUGGCCAGUGCUCUGUAAACUGGAAUCUAUCGAGCAAGCAUAUGGUAAAGAAGUGUUUGGUAAAGACACAGCUGGACCUUUUGAAGCCUAAUAAACUAAGUAAGCGCAACUGAACUACUUCACUUUUUCCCUUAACUCUAAGGACAUAGGCGGACUAAGCACUAUAAGUACAUGGGCUUAGUUUCAAUGAUAUGAGAGUAAGCAGUGAGAAUCUUUCCCCCCGACACGGCUACUAGAAAACCUGUAUGGAUGUUUACAUUAGCGGAGUAACAAAUAGGUGUAACGAACGACUCUAACUCUCCUAACGCGAGUUUUGAUUAGCGCUUACACCGUUUCAUUCUUCUCUUUUUUGUUUCAGGGUGGAGUUUUGUUACUUUCUUUCCUCGACCACUACUUGUUCUUGUCGGCUUGGCGCCUUGUUUCAUUUCUGAUUGAUAUUAUUUAUAUUGAGCACAUGGUUGGUGUGGAAUUAAGUAAAGACACAGCUACCCAAUAGAAUGGAAUAGAACUUCCACCUCAGAUCCGUCCCAUGGCUUCAGAUCUAGAUCUUUAAACAAAAACGAUACUUUCAUUUCCAAACUCGACUUAAGCAUUAAUAGAAUCUCUCGCGUAAGCGGAAACAUAAGAUCUUAGUGAAGAAACAGAAGCAGAAGAUCUGAUAACUCCUUACGCUGAUGAAGACACUCCCAGCCUUCCCUUACAUGUAGAAUCAAAUGGAAAUGGAACUGACACCGUCUACUUAAUAUAAGAGCAACAAGAACUGGCACUUUUGGAUAAGACUCAAACAGAACAGCAACAGGCCAUCAUCCUUCCUUCCUCUUUCGAACAAAAAGACAAGAAGGAGAUUAGAGAGGAGAUUCCACUACGUCUUUGGAUCCAUCUUUUGCUUCGUAUUCUGGUCCUUGUUCUAAUGCUGAUCUUGUUUAUGCUUUUGCCUCUUCUUAUCCUACUGCUCGAACAGGAACAGGUCGCUCACUCACUUUGUCUCCGGGUAGCGAAGGUGCUAAGAGCCUCUGACUUGAAUUCUAUAGCUUUGGAGUUUCCUCUGACUUUCAUUCUAU
RNAcentral lists this long non-coding RNA (2014 nucleotides) under Musa acuminata (dwarf banana). RNAcentral's name for it is "long non-coding RNA (MACU_LNC007406)". The record is from RNAcentral. Lineage: Eukaryota; Viridiplantae; Streptophyta; Magnoliopsida; Zingiberales; Musaceae.